AGGGGUUUCCAGGUCGUGAUGGUGCUGAGGGGCCACAAGGAACGCCUGGGAAGACGGGAGAAGAUGGUGAGCCCGGGUAUCCAGGAUCACAGGGUCCUCAAGGAGCGAAGGGCGAGGCAGGCACAGGAGAAAAAGGAGAAAGAGGCAUGGAUGGACUUCAAGGAUUUAGGGGAGACAAAGGAGAAAUAGGAGAGCAAGGACCACAGGGAUCGACGGGUUAUCCUGGUGAAAAAGGCGACGCAGGCUCCUCAGACAUCAUCGACUUCAAUGGGAAGCUUCUAGAUGCUUUCCAGGCCAUCAACACCAUCAGUGUUUCGGUAAACUGCUGUUGUUU
Long non-coding RNA from Notothenia coriiceps (black rockcod), 334 nucleotides. RefSeq lists it as uncharacterized. NCBI's taxonomy places the organism in Eukaryota, Metazoa, Chordata, Actinopteri, Perciformes, Nototheniidae. The record is from RefSeq and is a predicted model, not a curated record. The transcript is spliced from 7 exons.